ACAAGUCUGGAGUUUCUUCUUCAUUUGGUAUAUUGCAGCUCUACCUAAUCUUUAUUUACAUCUCCCUCGAACAUGAAUUUCAGGAUGAAGAUGAGGAAGGAAUAGCCAAGUAUACGCUCAGCUUGAGAGAAAACAAAUGCUUGAGUGAGGAGAACAAAUCCUUGAAUGAUAGCUUGUCUACCUGAGAAGAUGAAAUAAAAGGAAUAUGGAAAAUAAAAGAGUUCUUGCUAUUCAUCAGAUGUUGCGUCUACGACAUCACCCGUUUCAAUUGAAUGAUCUCCGAUUUUGUCUACAGACCAACUUUCUUGAUGCUACUAUAUAACACCUGACGGAGUUUAGAUUUCUUUUGGAGCGAGAUCUUGAAGAUUGAAGUUACAAGUCAAGAUGCAAGUUUAGAAGAUACACAAGCCCAUUAUAUUAUGCAAA
Long non-coding RNA from Capsicum annuum, 426 nucleotides. RefSeq lists it as uncharacterized. The record is from RefSeq and is a predicted model, not a curated record. The transcript is spliced from 4 exons. NCBI's taxonomy places the organism in Eukaryota, Viridiplantae, Streptophyta, Magnoliopsida, Solanales, Solanaceae.